This is a non-coding RNA of Marmota flaviventris (yellow-bellied marmot), 942 nucleotides long. Lineage: Eukaryota; Metazoa; Chordata; Mammalia; Rodentia; Sciuridae. The record is from RefSeq and is a predicted model, not a curated record.
GGAGUUGUCUCCAGGCCGUUGUGGCCCCUCACACAAUAAGGUGACCUGUUCAUCUUGGAACACACUUACCCACGGAGGCUGCAAGGUUAAUGGAACUCAUCCUUUGGAAGAAAGACAAUGGCAUAAGAGGAGAAUCUGAGGUAGCGAUCACUUACCCACUUGCCCACCAACUGGAACUGCAAAGGAUGGGAGAACAGAGACAUCAGGUGCAUGAGACAAGAGCCUUCCAAUGCUCAUGUGACCCAGUGUCACACAGUGAUAGCUGACUGACAGAAGUGGAAAACAAGGAAGACCUGAGAGGAACUCAAGAUGUUCUGAGAGAGAUGAGAGAAGCCUCAGAUCAAUGAGAUUUACCUUCAAAGACGUUCAUAACUCUUAUACUAUUUUGUCUCCAAAGUUAGCUACUAUACAGAUGUACCAUAAUUUCUUUCAUCAACCUUUCUUCAUGGACACAGAGUAUAUUUCUAACUUUUUGUUAUGAUCCGCUUUGCAAUACCUUUAAACAUUUGACUUAUUAUUUCCUUAGGACACAUAUCUAAAAUCAACACUGCUCAAAGAAAGUUUAAAUUUUUUCUUUUGGAUAAAAGAUUAUUGUCAUCUUUUAUGUCAGAUUAUCAUCAUCGUUGCAAUCUCAUUGGCAGGGAAUAAAAUAAUGAUGACAAGUAGCAUUAUAGAUUUAAUUAGAGCCUUGAUUUUUUUUACCCUCAGUCUACCAAUAUUUGUACUGUAUGUCAGAUAGUUAUGCUAUGAUUAUGUAUAAAGACAUGAAUGGUGUGAAUAUACUUUGUAUACAACCAGAGAUCUGAAAAUAUGUGCUCUGUAUGUGUAAUAUGAAUUAUAAUGCAUUCUUCUGUAAAUUAGAAUGAAAAAUAAAAAAUAGGGAUUUCUAUUUUGCUAAAUCCAAUAUUGUAAUAUUGUCAAUACUUAAUAUUGUAAUGAGAC